AAUUUGACGGAUGCUAUUUCCGGUGCUAUAACUCCCAAUAAUUUUAUUAUUCCACUUCUCUUGUGAAUAGUGAUUAUAUCAUUUAAUUAAUAUUAUUAAAAAUAAUCAAACAAAAUAAUAAUUAUUUUGUCAAUAUUUACUUGUUUUAUCUCAGUUUUGUUAAAAAUUGAUACAAAUAAGCUUUUGUUAAACUUAACUUGACCUUGCUAGUUCUUUUCCGUUCAGCUACCGCGAUUGGAACAUGUCUUAUUCACCUGAAAGAAGACAAGAAGAUUGGCCGGAGGAUUCCAAAAAUGGGCCUAAGGAUCAAGGAAACUAUGACGGCCCUCCGGGUAUGGAUCCCCAAGGAGCACUCGAUACAAACUGGCAUCAAGUCGUGGAAAGCUUUGAUGACAUGAAUUUGAAAGAAGAAUUGCUGAGAGGAAUUUAUGCUUAUGGCUUUGAAAAGCCAUCAGCUAUUCAGCAGCGCGCCAUUAUGCCGUGUAUCCAAGGUCGCGACGUUAUAGCUCAAGCCCAGUCUGGAACUGGAAAGACAGCUACUUUCUCUAUUUCUAUUUUGCAACAAAUAGACACUAGUAUUCGUGAAUGCCAGGCAUUGAUUCUGGCUCCAACCAGAGAGUUGGCCCAACAAAUUCAAAAGGUGGUAAUAGCUCUUGGUGACCACUUAAAUGCUAAAUGUCAUGCUUGUAUUGGAGGCACCAAUGUGCGUGAGGAUAUCCGCCAACUGGAAAGUGGUGUUCAUGUGGUUGUGGGUACUCCAGGCCGUGUGUAUGACAUGAUAACUCGUCGUGCUCUACGUGCUAAUACCAUCAAGCUCUUUGUGCUUGAUGAAGCUGAUGAGAUGUUAUCCAGGGGUUUCAAAGAUCAAAUCCAUGAUGUAUUCAAGAUGCUCUCUGCUGAUGUUCAAGUCAUUUUACUCUCGGCUACUAUGCCAGAUGAUGUGUUGGAAGUUUCACGCUGCUUCAUGAGAGAUCCUGUGCGCAUUCUUGUCCAGAAAGAAGAGCUUACUCUGGAAGGGAUUAAACAAUUCUUUAUUGCUAUUGAAAUGGAAGAGUGGAAAUUGGAGACACUUUGUGAUUUAUAUGAUACCCUGUCAAUUGCGCAGGCUGUCAUUUUCUGCAACACCCGUCGCAAGGUGGACUGGCUUACUGAGUCAAUGCAUGAGCGUGACUUCACCGUGUCUGCUAUGCACGGUGACAUGGACCAACGCGAGCGUGAGGUGAUCAUGAGGCAGUUCCGUACUGGAUCUUCUCGUGUUCUGAUCACCACGGACUUGCUUGCGCGUGGUAUUGACGUGCAGCAAGUCUCUUGCGUCAUCAACUAUGAUCUACCAACUAACCGCGAAAACUACAUUCACAGAAUCGGAAGAGGAGGUCGUUUCGGCCGUAAAGGAAUUGCUAUCAACUUCGUGACUGAAGCUGAUAAGAGAGCAUUGAAGGAUAUUGAGGAGUUCUACCAUACAACUAUUACGGAAAUGCCCAGCGAUGUGGCUAACCUCAUCUGAGGAGCCUGCGCUUCCUGGUUUAUACUUUGUGUCCUGCGUUCUAUCUAUUGCGAUAUUUAUAAGAAGAUCUACCUGAGCCUGUUGAAACGCACUUUGGACACAACUAUGUGGAAAUAAUAAAUCAAAAUUUCCUUAAUAAGUUACUUUCUUUUGACAGGUCCUUAUUGUAUCCUGUAUUCCCAUUUUGCUUUUGCAUUUUACUUUUUAAAUUUGUUUUCUACAUGGUUUAUAUGUUCAUUUCGAAUUAUUUAUAUUUUUGGAAUAAAUUUUGUUCGAAAUAUUAGUGACUUUUACGAAGCUUGGUAAUUAAGGUUCCUAUUAUACCUACUAGUAAAGAUAAUAUACGUAUAGGUACAUUUAAAGGGAACUAUGUAAUUAGUUUUACAUUAUGUAUAUCGUACAUUUUCAGUAUUGAUUAUUAAUAACUUGGUGAUCUCUUG
This is an RNA transcript of Plodia interpunctella (Indianmeal moth), 1944 nucleotides long. It is a transcript of the gene named eukaryotic translation initiation factor 4A, with no coding region annotated. The record is from RefSeq and is a predicted model, not a curated record. The transcript has 8 exons. NCBI's taxonomy places the organism in Eukaryota, Metazoa, Arthropoda, Insecta, Lepidoptera, Pyralidae.